RNAcentral lists this ribosomal RNA (478 nucleotides) under uncultured bacterium. Its description in RNAcentral is "partial 16S ribosomal RNA". It matches the Rfam family "Bacterial small subunit ribosomal RNA", at positions 28 to 523 of the family's 1533-position model. The record is from RNAcentral.
GACGAACGCUGGCGGCGUGCCUAACACAUGCAAGUCGAACGGUAAGGCCCUUCGGGGUGCACGAGUGGCGAACGGGUGAGUAACACGUGGGCGAUCUGCCCUGCACUUCGGGAUAAGCACGGGAAACAGGGUCUAAUACCGGCUAGGACCACUGCAUGCAUGGUGGGUGGUGGAAAGCUUUUGCGGUGUGGGAUGGGCCCGCGGCCUAUCAGGUUUUUGGUGGGGUGAUGGCCUACCAAGGCGACGACGGGUAGCCGGCCUGAGAGGGUGACCGGCCACACUGGGACUGAGAUACGGCCCAGACUCCUACGGGAGGCAGCAGUAGGGAAUAUUGCACAAUGGGCGCAAGCCUGAUGCAGCGAGGCCGCGUGAGGGAUGACGGCCUUCGGGUUGUAAACCUCUUUCAGCACCGACGAAGCGCAAGUGACGGUAGGUGCAGAAGAAGGACCGGCCAACUACGUGCCAGCAGCCGCGGUAA